AGGCACGGGGAGAAAAGCUCCAGAGUUUGUAAAUAUACAAAGGCAUACAAAGGCAAGUAAACACAUACAGAGUCAUUUCACAUAUACAGAGACAAAGUACAAUUCAUAACAUUUUAGAAGUACAAAGAGA
This is a long non-coding RNA of Protopterus annectens (West African lungfish), 130 nucleotides long. RefSeq lists it as uncharacterized. Lineage: Eukaryota; Metazoa; Chordata; Ceratodontiformes; Protopteridae. The transcript has 3 exons. The record is from RefSeq and is a predicted model, not a curated record.